This is a non-coding RNA of Podarcis lilfordi (Lilford's wall lizard), 69 nucleotides long. Lineage: Eukaryota; Metazoa; Chordata; Lepidosauria; Squamata; Lacertidae. The record is from the annotation of a GenBank genome assembly.
GCUGUAGCUCAGUGGCAGAGCACCUGCUUUGCAUGCAGAAGGUCCCAGGUUCAGUCCACAGCAUCUACA